GUAAAUGGCUGCAUAAAUCUGAGUGUACUGAGGUAGCGCUAUAAUUUGCCUUUUAAAUGGGGGCUGGUAUGAAUGGGUUCACGCGAGAGUUGCUGUGUCACAAAAAAAUUAUUGAAAUUAACCUUUAGGUGAAGAGGCCUAAGUGUAUUUAAAGGACGACAAGACCCUAGAAGCUUUACUAUUAGUAAAUUAAAGCAUAAUUUAUUUUAGUUUUGUUGGGGCAACAUAGUUAGGAAAUAUAACUGUUUUGCAAAAUAUAACCUACAGGUUAAAACCACGAUAGUGAACAAGAUAAGCUACUCUAGGGAUAACAGCGUUAUUUUUUUUGAUAGUACGUAUUGUAAAAAAAGUUUGCGACCUCGAUGUUGGAUUAAGGUGUCCUUAAGUCGUAAAAGCCUUAAAGGGUUGGCCUGUUCGUCCAUUAAGACCUUACA
Molecule: ribosomal RNA, 434 nt
Filed under: Terua pacifica
Lineage: Eukaryota; Metazoa; Mollusca; Bivalvia; Mytilida; Modiolidae
Description: Adipicola pacifica partial 16S ribosomal RNA
Rfam family: Bacterial large subunit ribosomal RNA
Source: RNAcentral